This is a non-coding RNA of Sus scrofa (pig), 966 nucleotides long. The record is from RefSeq and is a predicted model, not a curated record. NCBI's taxonomy places the organism in Eukaryota, Metazoa, Chordata, Mammalia, Artiodactyla, Suidae.
GGAUCCUUAACCCUCUGAGCGAGGCCAGGGAUCAAACCAGCAACCUCUUGGUUACUAGUCGGAUUCGUUUCCAUUGCACCACAAUGGAAACUCCCAAGGGGGAAUUUCAAGAGGGAGCCAGAAGACCAGGUGACUGCUGGCUAGGAGGACAGCUGGCAGAGCUGUGCACCGAAUCCCAGAGCUGGCCUUGGCAGUCCCUGCACCUUCAUCAGGUCCUGGAAUCUGUCCUUGGACAAGGAAGAGAGGAACUUGCAUGUCCACAAGCCUGGUCCCCGCCCUGGGCCAUAGCCGGUAAUGCAUUGAGCAGCCCUGCUCCUGGCACCCCUGGAAGCCCCCAGGGAGCAUCAGAAGGCAAAAGUCCAAGACUGUGCCCUUGGGCAACUCCAGCAACCGGCGGAUUUCUCGAAGCUUGAGCACACACUUCCCUUCCAGAGUCUCAACUUCUCUCUCCGUAUGAGUCAGCUGGCGCUGCGGGAAGGGAACUCCACAGACAAGUUCAACAAUAGCAAUUACUCUCUCCCAGUCCCAGAGGCUGAAGGUCCAAGAUUUCAGUGUCAGCAGUUUCUUCCUUGGCUUGGAGACGCUGCCCCGUAUUUGGUCCUGACGUGGUCCUUCUCUGUGUGCCCGUGGGUCUAAAACUGUGUCCACAUUCCCUCUUUUAAGGACACCAGUCAGAUUGCAUCAGGACCCACCCUGACUGCCACCUUUUACCUUAGUCGCCUCUUAAAGGCUGGGUCUCCGAGUCCAGCCCAUCCUGAGGUCCUGGGGGUUAGCACUUCAACAUACACAUUUGGGGACAGGAUUCCACCGAUAACACUCUGGAGUUCUAAUCUCAACCCUUUCAGAAGGCAGAGACAUGUCAGAGUCAGCAGACUGUUUUAUUUUUGGCUGCCCCACAGCAUAUGGAGUUGCCGGGCCAGGGAUCAGAUCCAAGGUGUAGUUGUGACCCACACUGCAGCUGCGGCA